UGACGCACAGCCUGAUCCAGCCAUACCGCGUGGGUGAAGAAGGCCUUCGGGUUGUAAAGCCCUUUUGUUGGGAAAGAAAUCCAGCCGGCUAAUACCUGGUUGGGAUGACGGUACCCAAAGAAUAAGCACCGGCUAACUUCGUGCCAGCAGCCGCGGUAAUACGAAGGGUGCAAGCGUUACUCGGAAUUACUGGGCGUAAAGCGUGCGUAGGUGGUUGUUUAAGUCUGUUGUGAAAGCCCUGGGCUCAACCUGGGAACUGCAGUGGAAACUGGACAACUAGAGUGUGGUAGAGGGUAGCGGAAUUCCCGGUGUAGCAGUGAAAUGCGUAGAGAUCGGGAGGAACAUCCAUGGCGAAGGCAGCUACCUGGACCAACACUGACACUGAGGCACGAAAGCGUGGGGAGCAAACAGGAUUAGAUACCCUGGUAGUCCACGCCCUAAACGAUGCGAACUGGAUGUUGGGUGCAAUUUGGCACGCAGUAUCGAAGCUAACGCGUUAAGUUCGCCGCCUGGGGAGUACGGUCGCAAGACUGAAACUCAAAUGAAAUUGACG
Molecule: ribosomal RNA, 553 nt
Filed under: Stenotrophomonas pavanii
Lineage: Bacteria; Pseudomonadati; Pseudomonadota; Gammaproteobacteria; Lysobacterales; Lysobacteraceae
Description: bacterial SSU rRNA
Rfam family: Bacterial small subunit ribosomal RNA
Source: RNAcentral